Molecule: ribosomal RNA, 583 nt
Filed under: Stenotrophomonas maltophilia
Lineage: Bacteria; Pseudomonadati; Pseudomonadota; Gammaproteobacteria; Lysobacterales; Lysobacteraceae
Description: bacterial SSU rRNA
Rfam family: Bacterial small subunit ribosomal RNA
Source: RNAcentral
AAGUCGAACGGCAGCACAGAGGAGCUUGCUCCUUGGGUGGCGAGUGGCGGACGGGUGAGGAAUACAUCGGAAUCUACUUUUUCGUGGGGGAUAACGUAGGGAAACUUACGCUAAUACCGCAUACGACCUACGGGUGAAAGCAGGGGAUCUUCGGACCUUGCGCGAUUGAAUGAGCCGAUGUCGGAUUAGCUAGUUGGCGGGGUAAAGGCCCACCAAGGCGACGAUCCGUAGCUGGUCUGAGAGGAUGAUCAGCCACACUGGAACUGAGACACGGUCCAGACUCCUACGGGAGGCAGCAGUGGGGAAUAUUGGACAAUGGGCGCAAGCCUGAUCCAGCCAUACCGCGUGGGUGAAGAAGGCCUUCGGGUUGUAAAGCCCUUUUGUUGGGAAAGAAAUCCAGCCGGCUAAUACCUGGUUGGGAUGACGGUACCCAAAGAAUAAGCACCGGCUAACUUCGUGCCAGCAGCCGCGGUAAUACGAAGGGUGCAAGCGUUACUCGGAAUUACUGGGCGUAAAGCGUGCGUAGGUGGUCGUUUAAGUCCGUUGUGAAAGCCCUGGGCUCAACCUGGGAACUGCAGUGGAU